RNAcentral lists this ribosomal RNA (395 nucleotides) under uncultured bacterium. Its description in RNAcentral is "partial 16S ribosomal RNA". It matches the Rfam family "Bacterial small subunit ribosomal RNA", at positions 523 to 916 of the family's 1533-position model. The record is from RNAcentral.
AUACGUAGGUGGCAAGCGUCGUCCGGAUUUACUGGGUGUAAAGGGCGCGUAGGCGGGCAGGCAAGUCAGAUGUGAAAUCUCCGGGCUCAACCCGGAAAUUGCAUUUGAAACUGCAGGUCUUGAGUAUCGGAGAGGCAAGCGGAAUUCCUAGUGUAGCGGUGAAAUGCGUAGAUAUUAGGAGGAACACCAGUGGCGAAGGCGACUUUCUGGACUGUACCUGACGCUGAUGCGCGAAAGCGUGGGUAGCGAACGGGAUUAGAUACCCCGGUAGUCCACGCUGUAAACGAUGAAUACUAGGUGUAGGAGGUAUCGACCCCUUCUGUGCCGCAGUUAACACAAUAAGUAUUCCGCCUGGGGAGUACGAUCGCAAGAUUGAAACUCAAAUGAAUUGACGG